CAAUGUACGAGAAGUAUGACAGAGUGAGUCAGAGUGCUUUUCAUAUGAAAAGGGUUUGCCAAAUGUAAAAAGUUUGGCGAAUAAGGAGUGGGUAAGACGAGUGCCCCCGCCGCGGUAAUACUCGCGGUCCAAGUAGCAGCCAUCAUUAUUGGGUCUAAAACAUCCGUAGGUUACUUAAUAAGUUUCUUGUGAAAUUCCAUGUGUCAAAUAUGGAGCGGGCCAGAAGCAAUGUUUAGCUAGGGGACGGAAGGAGUAAGAAGGACGUUUGGGGGUAGGGUAAAAUCGUGAAUCCCAGGGGGGACCACAACAGCGAAGGCAUCUCACGAGAACAGUUCUGACAGUAAGGGAUGAAGGCUAGGGGCGCAAAAGGGAUUAGAUACCCGGGUAGUCCUAGCAGUAAACAAUGCACACUAAACGUUAGUACGUCCUCGAGAGGUGUUAGUGCUGAAGGGAAGCUGAAGAGUGCGCCGCCUGGGAAGUAUAGUCGCAAGGCUGAAACUUAAAGGAAUUGGCGGGGGAGCACCACAACGGGUGGAGCGUGCGGUCAAUUGGAUUCAACGCCGGA
This 565-nucleotide ribosomal RNA is filed under the name uncultured archaeon. Its description in RNAcentral is "bacterial SSU rRNA". It matches the Rfam family "Archaeal small subunit ribosomal RNA", at positions 353 to 922 of the family's 1478-position model. The record is from RNAcentral.